Molecule: ribosomal RNA, 454 nt
Filed under: uncultured Sphingomonas sp.
Lineage: Bacteria; Pseudomonadati; Pseudomonadota; Alphaproteobacteria; Sphingomonadales; Sphingomonadaceae
Description: bacterial SSU rRNA
Rfam family: Bacterial small subunit ribosomal RNA
Source: RNAcentral
UAGAGUUUGAUCCUGGCUCAGAACGAACGCUGGCGGCAUGCCUAACACAUGCAAGUCGAACGAUGCUUUCGGGCAUAGUGGCGCACGGGUGCGUAACGCGUGGGAAUCUGCCCCUUGGUUCGGAAUAACAGCUAGAAAUGGCUGCUAAUACCGGAUGACGACGUAAGUCCAAAGAUUUAUCGCCGAGGGAUGAGCCCGCGUAAGAUUAGCUAGUUGGUGUGGUAAAGGCGCACCAAGGCGACGAUCUUUAGCUGGUCUGAGAGGAUGAUCAGCCACACUGGGACCGAGACACGGCCCAGACUCCUACGGGAGGCAGCAGUGGGGAAUAUUGGACAAUGGGCGCAAGCCUGAUCCAGCAAUGCCGCGUGAGUGAUGAAGGCCUUAGGGUUGUAAAGCUCUUUUACCCGGGAUGAUAAUGACAGUACCGGGAGAAUAAGCUCCGGCUAACUCCGUG